This 547-nucleotide ribosomal RNA is filed under the name uncultured bacterium. RNAcentral's name for it is "bacterial SSU rRNA". It matches the Rfam family "Bacterial small subunit ribosomal RNA", at positions 358 to 916 of the family's 1533-position model. The record is from RNAcentral.
GGAAUAUUGGGCAAUGGAGGAAACUCUGACCCAGCGACGCCGCGUGCGGGAUGAAGGCCUUCGGGUUGUAAACCGCUUUCAGUAGGGAAGAAGUGAAAGUGACGGUACCUACAAAAGAAGCACCGGCUAACUAUGUGCCAGCAGCCGCGGUAAUACAUAGGGUGCAAGCGUUGUCCGGAAUUAUUGGGCGUAAAGAGCUCGUAGGUCGUUUGUUACGUCGGAUGUGAAAACCUGAGGCUCAACCUCAGGCCUGCAUUCGAUACGGGCAAACUAGAGUUUGGUAGGGGAGACUGGAAUUCCUGGUGUAGCGGUGGAAUGCGCAGAUAUCAGGAGGGACACCAAUGGCGAAGGCAGGUCUCUGGGCCAAUACUGACACUGAGGAGCGAAAGUCUGGGGAGCGAACAGGAUUAGAUACCCUGGUAGUCCAGACCGUAAACGGUGGGCACUAGUUGUGGGAACCUUCCACGGUUUCUGCGACGCAGCUAACGCAUUAAGUGCCCCGCCUGGGGAGUACGAUCGCAAGAUUAAAACUCAAAGGAAUUGACGG